This 427-nucleotide ribosomal RNA is filed under the name uncultured bacterium. RNAcentral's name for it is "bacterial SSU rRNA". It matches the Rfam family "Bacterial small subunit ribosomal RNA", at positions 355 to 796 of the family's 1533-position model. The record is from RNAcentral.
ACGAGAAUAUUCGACAAUGGGCGCAAGCCUGAUCGAGCGACGCCGCGUGAUGGAUGAAGUGCUUCGGUACGUAAACAUCUUUUAUGGAGGAGGAAGUUUUGACGUUACUCCAUGAAUAAGGGGCUCCUAACUCUGUGCCAGCAGGAGCGGUAAUACAGAGGCCCCGAGCGUUACCCGGAAUUACUGGGCGUAAAGGGUGUGUAGGCGGUCAUGUUAGUCGGCUGUUAAAUAUCCGGGGCUUAACCUCGGAAACCCGGUCGAAACGGCAUGACUCGAGAGAGUGAGAGGUGAAUGGAACUCUAGGUGUAGGGGUGAAAUCCGUUGAUAUCUAGGGGAACACCAAAAGCGAAGGCAAUUCACUGGCACUUUUCUGACGCUCAAACACGAAAGCGUGGGUAGCGAACGGGAUUAGAUACCCCCGUAGUCC